RNAcentral lists this ribosomal RNA (497 nucleotides) under uncultured bacterium. RNAcentral's name for it is "partial 16S ribosomal RNA". It matches the Rfam family "Bacterial small subunit ribosomal RNA", at positions 28 to 507 of the family's 1533-position model. The record is from RNAcentral.
GACGAACGCUGGCGGCGUGCCUAAUACAUGCAAGUUGAGCGAUGAAGAUUGGUGCUUGCACCAAUUUGAAGAGCAGCGAACGGGUGAGUAACGCGUGGGGAAUCUGCCUUUGAGCGGGGGACAACAUUUGGAAACGAAUGCUAAUACCGCAUAACAACUUUAAACAUAAGUUUUAAGUUUGAAAGAUGCAAUUGCAUCACUCAAAGAUGAUCCCGCGUUGUAUUAGCUAGUUGGUGAGGUAAAGGCUCACCAAGGCGAUGAUACAUAGCCGACCUGAGAGGGUGAUCGGCCACAUUGGGACUGAGACACGGCCCAAACUCCUACGGGAGGCAGCAGUAGGGAAUCUUCGGCGAUGGACGAAAGUCUGACCGAGCAACGCCGCGUGAGUGAAGAAGGGUUUCGGAUCGUAAAACUCUGUUGGUAGAGAAGAACGUUGGUGAGAGUGGAAAGCUCAUCAAGUGACGGUAACUACCCAGAAAGGGACGGCUAACUACGUG